CAUUUUUAGGCUUGUUCCUAAGUAGAAAACCAGAGUAAGGGCCCUGUCAACGUUUAACUUUACAACUUUUUUCCAUCACCGAUUGCUUCAAUAUCAAAACAGGAGUAAUAUUUAAAUCAAAGGGAAAAAUUGAUUAAAGAAUAUAACAAAUCAGUGAAGCAAAAAUGCAAAACAAAACCCACAUUUUGUGAUUGUCAGCUUUUCGUCAUCAAACAAAAGCUAAAAUGAUAGUAAAAUAGAACACAGAAGGCGACGGGAAUGAAAACCCAACGAAUUUGUGCCGCCGGUCACUGCUUCGUAUACGUCUGUGAAUGCCAAAUCGUCACUUCGUGUGUGAUUGUCAGCCGCCAGUUGUGACUGUGAAUGAGUUUAGGAGUUACUAAGAGAUUCGAGCCUUUGAUGAUGCUUGAUGAUGAACUAAUGAUGAUGAUUGGUGACGAAUUGAUAAUGAUGAUGAUUGGUGACGAAUUGAUGAAUUUGGGAGAUGACAAGGGGAGGAAAUGGUGGCGGAGAUGAAAAGGAGAGGCUGUGAAUUGAGGAAUUUAGGAGAUGAAAAGGAGAGAAAAUGGUGGCGG
Molecule: long non-coding RNA, 575 nt
Filed under: Citrus sinensis (sweet orange)
Lineage: Eukaryota; Viridiplantae; Streptophyta; Magnoliopsida; Sapindales; Rutaceae
Description: long non-coding RNA (CSIN_LNC002059)
Source: RNAcentral